RNAcentral lists this ribosomal RNA (408 nucleotides) under Triticum aestivum (bread wheat). Its description in RNAcentral is "partial small subunit ribosomal RNA". The record is from RNAcentral. Lineage: Eukaryota; Viridiplantae; Streptophyta; Magnoliopsida; Poales; Poaceae.
AUGGCCACUUUCGGCUCCGCCCAGGGUGCCGUGGACUCACUCCUCGGCAUCCUUGGCUCGGUCAUCCGCGAGGAGACACAGCUUUUGGGCUAUAUCCGGGGUGACGUCCAAUUCAUCAAGGACGAGAUGGAAAGCAUGAACGGAUUCCUCCUCCACGUUGGCGAGACCUCUGAAGACGAGGACCACCAGCUGUGCGCCUGGAUGAGACAAAUCAGGGAUGUAGCCAUCGAGUCGGAGAGAUGGGUCGACCGAUACCAACGUUUGGCCGGUAAAGCUCCGAAUGGUGGAGGUUUCUUGGGUUACCUGCGGCAGGUCACCCACUCCGUACUGACGAUUUCGGAGCGCCGGGAGGUCGCGACCAAGAUUGGGGAGCUAAAGGCUCGUGCACAGGAGAUCGGUGAGAGGCGC